Molecule: ribosomal RNA, 497 nt
Filed under: uncultured bacterium
Lineage: Bacteria
Description: partial 16S ribosomal RNA
Rfam family: Bacterial small subunit ribosomal RNA
Source: RNAcentral
GAUGAACGCUGGCGGCGUGCCUAAUACAUGCAAGUCGAGCGAACGGACGAGAAGCUUGCUUCUCUGAUGUUAGCGGCGGACGGGUGAGUAACACGUGGAUAACCUACCUAUAAGACUGGGAUAACUUCGGGAAACCGGAGCUAAUACCGGAUAAUAUUUUGAACCGCAUGGUUCAAAAGUGAAAGACGGUCUUGCUGUCACUUAUAGAUGGAUCCGCGCUGCAUUAGCUAGUUGGUAAGGUAACGGCUUACCAAGGCAACGAUGCAUAGCCGACCUGAGAGGGUGGUCGGACACACUGGAACUGAGACACGGUACAGACUCCUACGGGAGGCAGCAGUAGGGAAUCUUCCGCAAUGGGCGAAAGCCUGACGGAGCAACGCCGCGUGAGUGAUGAAGGUCUUCGGAUCGUAAAACUCUGUUAUUAGGGAAGAACAUAUGUGUAAGUAACUGUGCACAUCUUGACGGUACCUAAUCAGAAAGCCACGGCUAACUACGUG